AUGCAAGUCGAGGGGCAGCAUUUUAGUUUGCUUGCAAACUAAAGAUGGCGACCGGCGCACGGGUGAGUAACACGUGUGCAACCAACCCCGUACCGGGAGAUAACCCGCGGAAACGUGGACUAACAUCCCAUGAUACUCGAGGGCCGCAUGGCUCUCGAUUUAAAAUUCCGGUGGUACGGGACGGGCACGCGCGACAUUAGGUAGUUGGCGGGGUAACGGCCCACCAAGCCGACGAUGUCUAGGGGUUCUGAGAGGAAGGUCCCCACACUGGAACUGAGACACGGUCCAGACUCC
This 294-nucleotide ribosomal RNA is filed under the name uncultured bacterium. Its description in RNAcentral is "partial 16S ribosomal RNA". It matches the Rfam family "Bacterial small subunit ribosomal RNA", at positions 55 to 339 of the family's 1533-position model. The record is from RNAcentral.